Penaeus vannamei (Pacific white shrimp) is the source of this 431-nucleotide non-coding RNA. The record is from RefSeq and is a predicted model, not a curated record. Lineage: Eukaryota; Metazoa; Arthropoda; Malacostraca; Decapoda; Penaeidae.
CGAAUUGUAAGUCCGCUUUAGACGACCAAAACGUUCUAUAUUAAGGUGUAUCAAUUCCUUAUAUCCAGUGUGGUGACAGCUUUCAGUCUGGUGAAAACUCUUCAUAGGACUCUGUUCUUGAGCGGCGUCCACACAGGGAGAGAAUUGCCGGUGAAAAAGUCUUCAUACAUACCUUUCAAGAGAUGACUGAUGAAUGCACAUCCAUGAGUACAGGAAGAGAUGUCGAGCGAGGCAGGGCGAAAACGAAAAAAAAAAAAAAGUAAAGGUUUAGCAGCACGGUUAGCAGCACGGUUAGCCAUCUUUGGGGACGUGUUGCCGAUGGUGGCUGGCGCGCUGCUGUCCCUCGGGCUUACCAUCGCUUUCAUCACCGUGGGCGCCAUCUAUAAAGACGAUUGCAAUGUGGAACCCAUGAUCCCGAUCUGGCUCAUCGU